This 499-nucleotide unclassified non-coding RNA is filed under the name plant metagenome. RNAcentral's name for it is "partial contains 5.8S ribosomal RNA, internal transcribed spacer 2, and large subunit ribosomal RNA". The stretch from base 1 to 98 matches the Rfam family "5.8S ribosomal RNA", at positions 50 to 154 of the family's 154-position model. The record is from RNAcentral.
GAAAUGCGAUACGUAAUGUGAAUUGCAGGUGUCUGUGAAUCAUCAAAAUUUUGAACGCAAGUGGCGCUGCCAAAAGCAGCAUACUUGUUCGAGUGUUGGUAACAACAAUACUCACAAAAAAAAUCUUUUUUUUUUUUGUGGUUUUGAGAUGUCUUUUCUCAUUCUCAUUAUUAUUAUGAGAAAAGUCUCUUCAAGUAUAAUGCUAUCACUAAAAAAGUGAGUGAGAGGUAUACCAAACAUAUAUACAUGUAGCCUCCCUCUUUCUCGAAAAAUACUAUGAGAGAUGUUCCUAAGUGCUUUAUGCACAUUUAACAUUUCUCGCAUUUUUCAAUAAUGAGAAAUAGGACAGGUGUAUAUAUGGCUUCACAUUCCAUGAUAGUUAUAGAUCAUCAUCAAGUGAGUGAGUGAUAAAAAAAAAUAAAAUAAAUUCACUUUGAUGUUCACCUAUCAAUGUAAAAAUCAACCUCGAAUCAAGUAAGACUACCCGCUGAACUUAAGC